GUCUCUCCUGAGUCCUCUUCCUGUUCAGCUGUUUAAUAUCAAAGACCUGGCUGAAGUGAUGGAAUGUGCUCUCAUUAAGUUCAGCUGUACUGAGUAUACUUGAGGUGAAGGCAACUAAGAGGAGCCUCUGUAGGCUGGAGGAAGGCUGGGAAAUUUGGCAACGACAUGUGCAAAAUCCAGCACCUAAGCUGAGGAGGACCUGGAGGUUCUGGCUGACAGUAGGCUAAACAUGAGCCAGUGUGAGUCCAGGCUUUGCUGCAUUCAGGAAAGGAUUACUCUGCAGCAGCUAUCAGUAUCACGAAUGUUACUACAGUUACAGCCUGGCUUCAUUCUUUCUCUAUUUUCAACUUGAUUGUCAUUUCGAAGCUUGUGAAAACUGCUCUGGGAUACAAGAGAAAUAUACCUAGAAGUAAGUGUUCAUUUACUAGUAUGAUUCACUGCUGCCUACAGGAAACAGGAGAGACUGUUGUAACUGUGUCACAGAGUUGACAGUGUACAGAAAUUAACCCAUGGUGUGUAAAUGACUACGAAGGAACCAUGGUUAGCUCUGAGCUCUCCAUGAAGCCCGCAAUUAAUUGCUUAUUUUGUGACAUUGACAAAUUUGGUCUCUGUGGACCUCUCCAAUUUCUUUCCCUCUCCAAGCCAGAAGUGAAUGUUAGAUGAAUAGUGCAAAUCAAGCACCUGGAGCUAGGAUGUCUGAAGUCUGUCUGCAAAAAUGAGCACUUGGCAUGUAGCUGUCACUUGUUAAACCAAGAGGAAAACACUGAGGUUGCGAAAAUCCUAUAUAUCACCUAGCCAACAGUGCAAUCCUAAAAUUAAGCACUUGCACAUCUUCUGCUGAGUUUGAAAGUAAUGGGGAAACAGUCUCUGUACCUUGUGAUACCUAGAAGAAUGCUCCAAGGCUGUUAAGUAAAGGGUAAUUUCUUCUCCUUUAAGUAUAUUAUAAAAGCAAGACAUGGCUUGCAACUGAUUUUUGUGUGUUAGCUACAGAAGCAUCUGUCUCAGAAACAUAUAUUGCUUCAAAAGUACACAGGUACACAGAAAUGAAUUGCACUGAGCACCAUGUAAGACUAAUUGAACAGACCCCCAGGGUUCUGGUCUCAAGCAGGGUAGAAGCAUGGUCUAGAUGCUGAGUUGCUCAGUGCAGUCAGGAUUUGGGUGGAGGAGCUGCUUUCAA
This is a long non-coding RNA of Neopsephotus bourkii (Bourke's parrot), 1177 nucleotides long. RefSeq lists it as uncharacterized. Lineage: Eukaryota; Metazoa; Chordata; Aves; Psittaciformes; Psittacidae. The record is from RefSeq and is a predicted model, not a curated record. The transcript is spliced from 3 exons.